GGAGGAGGUGGUGGUGGAGGUGGU
This 24-nucleotide unclassified non-coding RNA is filed under the name Dictyostelium discoideum. Lineage: Eukaryota; Evosea; Eumycetozoa; Dictyosteliales; Dictyosteliaceae. The record is from RNAcentral.